This 620-nucleotide long non-coding RNA is filed under the name Dermacentor andersoni. RNAcentral describes it as "uncharacterized LOC126534431". The record is from RNAcentral. Lineage: Eukaryota; Metazoa; Arthropoda; Arachnida; Ixodida; Ixodidae.
CUUUCAUAAUAAGCAAGCUCUGUUCCAUGAUGCCAUAUGCCCUACAAACAUUUGCACCCUGUACUGAUUACGCAGUGUGCGCUUCGGACCAUUCGAAAGGCGCAGUAAUUCCCAUAGGAAGCGAGCUGGGAUCAACACAGUGUGUUCCGUGGCCGCGACAAUUGGAGUGUUCCUUGUGUGGGCAUACCUGGUGCUCAUCCAAAUGCUAUUGGCGAGUUCGCGUGGCCAUACCAACAGCUACCACCACACGCGAAGAUGGCGAGCGGAGGUCGAUAACACGUCUCGGUGUGUGUGUGCGGACAACGCCGUAAUCUCUGACCAUAAUAUCGAAAACGGUAGCCACAUAUGCGCCUGCCCCGACGAAGACAAUGCGCUCCUUGGAGAGGCCGAUCAACUGUCGGGGCCUUUGCAAGUCUCAAGAGAGCUGUCGAACAUUACUGUGCCAGUGAAAAACUCAUCGGAAGAAGCUGGCGCAGCAUUUCUACGAACGCACCAAGGCGAAAAUGUUGUCGUGUACGAAUAGCCAAUGAUGCGGUAAUCUGCAGAUUUGCUUGUUAUCUAUACAAGUUUCGUUCGCCAACCGAUGCAUGUCCUUUUGCAACAAAUAUUAUGACAAAUAA